GGAGUACGACCCACUGCUUAGUAUAUGCACGUGCUUCGGUGCGAGCAAUACACAUUAAACUAUAGAGACCGCUGUUUCUUCUUUAAACCAGAGGAAGGAUACGGCAAUAACAGGUCUGUGAUGCCCUCAGAUGUUCCGGGCUGCACACGUGCUACAAUGAUCAUUGCACUGUGCAUCUAACCCAAUGUGCGUGGACGCCGCAUGCAUGUACUCCUUGUGGGUACACGCAUUGCUGAGCGACCACGCCGAACCUACUUCGAAAGUAAAAUUUCUCUGUGGGUAAUCCAUUAGAAGUAAUGACUCGCAUAGACCAUGGCACACCAAAUGUACGCGCAGGUCUACCCGGCUCGCCUUUGUGUGAGUGCAGUGCGUAGCUUGUUGUUUCGUACGUGCCACUCCGUAUUAAUUCGUACGUGGGGAUAGAUCAUUGUUUAAUUGUUGGUCUCGGUCUUAACUAGGAAUGCCUUGUACGGGUCUCUGGUUCAACAUACCACCCGGAAUACGUCCCUGCCCUUUGUACACACCGCCCGUCGCUCUUACCGAUG
Molecule: ribosomal RNA, 545 nt
Filed under: Ammonia sp. T2B
Lineage: Eukaryota; Foraminifera; Rotaliida; Rotaliidae
Description: SSU rRNA
Rfam family: Eukaryotic small subunit ribosomal RNA
Source: RNAcentral